Molecule: long non-coding RNA, 315 nt
Filed under: Elaeis guineensis (African oil palm)
Lineage: Eukaryota; Viridiplantae; Streptophyta; Magnoliopsida; Arecales; Arecaceae
Description: long non-coding RNA (EGUI_LNC051282)
Source: RNAcentral
UUGAUUGUGUUUCUUUUAUGUGUUUCUUUUCUUCUUUUUUUCUAUUGCGGUAUCGACAUUAUCACCAACAUAGCGAUCAUGGGUGAGGGAUCCAUAUUCCGCACUCAUGAGGGAUCCUCCCAAUAGAUCUAAGAUUGAGAAUCUGAGAGGCUACCUUAGCAGUUAAUUGCUCCUCAUUUCUGGCCUUGAGAUGGUCACGUCAUUUUAGGUGAAAGAGGCAACCUUGCCAUUAUAUUGACUUAAAUGCUCCACACAUCUCUAGGGAGUCAUCAUUUUAGCUGCCCAGCAUUCAUUGUUGCCUUGGAAAGGAGCCCC